AACGAUGAAUGGGCUCGGCCCUUGAAAUAUUGAAAUACGGAUCACAAGAUUCCCUUUUUGCUCACCCCACCUGGUACUCCAUGUCGUAGCUGGGCAGGAUGAUCCGCCCGUGCUUCCACUCGCCGCCCUGGUCCUCACGGAUGACCCACAGCAACUUGCUCUCCUGGCUGGCUUCCCGCACCACCUGCAGCGCCACCCCGCGGCCGCCCGUGGCCUGCUCCUUCCUGUUUAGGCUCUCUGGGAUUAGUGCUUCAGAAGCUAUGCUUCCCUGAAGUCAAAUGAGACCAGUUUAGUAUGCGUAUAUGGGAUUCCAGUUUGUGCCUCUUCAACCAUCCAAAGCCACAUCUGUCUACAUACCCUACAAGGUGUGACCUCUGCAAGGCCAAAAUCAGCACAGAUAACUAAAAGGCAGCUGUCUACAGAAGAGAAUUAAUAAUGGUGUCUGCUGAGGGAGGAUACACUGAUGCCAAAUCAGACCCUCAAAGAUCUUCUAAACCUAUGCUUCCCCUAUCAGAUCUUACUAUUACUGCUGUUAAUGAUAAUAAUUAAAGCUCAUUCUUGCAUAAUGCUUUACAGGUUA
RNAcentral lists this long non-coding RNA (580 nucleotides) under Homo sapiens (human). Its description in RNAcentral is "PREDICTED lncRNA (TCONS_00164041)". The record is from RNAcentral. Lineage: Eukaryota; Metazoa; Chordata; Mammalia; Primates; Hominidae.